This is a long non-coding RNA of Pocillopora damicornis (cauliflower coral), 4945 nucleotides long. RefSeq lists it as uncharacterized. The record is from RefSeq and is a predicted model, not a curated record. NCBI's taxonomy places the organism in Eukaryota, Metazoa, Cnidaria, Anthozoa, Scleractinia, Pocilloporidae.
GUUGAUAUUUUUCCAUUUUUCUCACCACCAUUCUGUUUGAAAAUAUUGUGAAAUUGCUAAGAGUAGUUCUUCUCCAGUCAUUAACGGGAGUGAAAGGUUUUCAUGAGUUCCUGACUGUGCUACUAAAUACCAAACCGACCGCUACCUACGAGGUGGAUCGUACACUGCAGUUCGAGGAGAAAUGUUAAUAUUUAAAUUUAGCCAAGCCUAAGAGCAGGGUUUCAGUUCGUUCAUUUUUACUGCAAAUUUCUCACAGUUUAUUAAAUAGUUUUCUUACAACAAUUUGGGGAGUAGCCGAUGAGUAUUUAGGGGAGAAAGACGGAGGAUAUAUGGAGAGUCAAGGGCAUCGACAUUGUCCUUGAAUCCCUUUCAGUAUUAUUAUCAAGAUCGAUUUUCCAAAUAAAAUAGUUCUUCAGCUUAUACACUUUUUUAAAAAACAACUUUCAGUUCACAAAGUUAUGAAAGACUCAAUUUCAUAACCAAGAUUUCUGGGGUUCUUGUAAAUCGGUUUCCAUUGAUGCUUGCACUAUGUUCUGGUUCUAACAAAAAGUGUUCUCUCAUGGAAACCAGGCUUCAAGCAGGCUGAGGGUCAAGUGGAAGUGACUACUUCGGGCACAGAUAAAUAAAGAUUAAUUUUGAAAUUAAGGUCAUGAUUAUCACAAAGUCGUUCUAAAUCGAACUUAUUGUUCUGAAUAGUACUGUUAGUCCUAAUUGUAAUGAAAAAGUCUUGCUUUCUGACCUGUACUCUCUUUUACCAAUGCCUCAUCAUGCACCCAAUGCCAAAGGUAAGGUAUACCAAAGUGGCCCAAUAUUAAGCCGGAGCUUACCCUGCCAAAGCGGUGUAUUAAAUAACAAGGUAAUCAUUUUAGUUUGGUUAUAUCAACUGAGUUAAUAACUUAAAUUGGCACUCGUAGAGAGUUUCUACGCUGACGUAUCGAAAGUUAGCUCCUCGUCAAAACGAAUUCGUUCAUUCGCUCUGACGAAGAGCUAACGCUCGAAACGUCAGCUUUGAAACUCUUGACGGCGGCCAAUUCAAAUCAUCAAUUUAGUUGAUAAAACCAAACUACCUUGUUACACUCUCCCACCGACGCAGCACCACAGUUUCUAUAGAAACUUACCCCUUAAUUUAUUUGUAUUAAAUAACAGCUUGCUUAACUCGUUAAGCCUUUUAAGUUGUUUCGCAAAUGGCCCCGCUCAACUUUUUCAGUUUAUUCCUCAGGGCUCUUAAUCCGUGGUUUCUUUCAAUGACGGGCUUAAUAUAUAUUGUAUUGUGCUACAGUGAAACGGCAUAACUCGAAAGAGAAACUUUACAAAGCUCGUUAUCGUCACUGAAGCGUUGUAAAGAGAUCUGUGCACUUUAUCGUAGGAAUUGCAAAUCGAAGUAAACGGCGACGCCUACGCUCGUGGUGGACUUGUAUAAACAAAAAAAAUGUUUCGUAACUUCGAUUAAAAACUUGAAAUCGAAUAACGAUAACUCGCGUGAUUUUUUCCUUCGCUUGCUGGUUCUUUUCGCUUCUGUUGUCCAUUCAAUCUUGGUAAAGACAAAUAAGAGUCACUCAACAAGAGAGACUUCAAGAUUCCUCUUCUAGAAGAACACUUAAAACAGGUGGUUUGCUAAAUUAACCAUAAAAAGGCGGUAAUUAUUGCCAGUCACCAUAAUUAGCCUAUGCUUCAUGAUGUGGUUUCUUUGUUCCUGUAAAUAUUGCGAUGACAAAAACCCAAAGAAAAGAUGAGUGAUCCAUCGUGAUCUUUUUUUUUAGCAUUCUUCAAAGUCAGAUUUCUAGUUAAUUCAGGUUCACGAACUGAUCACGUGUUUUCAACAAGUGGCUUUCCGAACGCCUCCAUACUCUUUAUAAUUGAAUCAAAAUAUAUCUGUGAACUAUCACGCACAGUACAUCGGGUAGAUACUGAGUCAAUCUGGAAGAUGAAAACAACACCGCCUGAGCAAAGAGAAAAGUCCCUCCUCAAGCAAGACCUAGCAAAGACAGUAUGGCAUUCUAUGAGAUACUGUGUUGCCCAGAAGGUUACUUUUAACGAAUGCUUAAAAAGAGUCUUGCAUAAUUUGUCAAUGAUUUCUGACCAAAGUAUCGCGGAUUUCUGAUAAACAGAAUAGGACGUGUCUAACAAAGUUGCUUGAAGUAGCACGAGGUCUGGUGAGAAUGGCCUGAAAACGAGGCCAGAACAGCCUCGAUGGCACGCAAAUCAAUUAGUAGUAUUGUGAGACUCUUUCACUAACGCUUUCUCCCCAAAUAUAAUGCGUUAUACUUAACUACCUUUUCCUGUGCUUUGCACAAAACUAACUUGAACCUAAAAAAAACUAACCUGUUGCUAUUUUGCCCAAGUAACGAUAUCUUUUCGAACAAUUAUAAUAACUUCCAAUCUUAGGGAAGUACAAAAUAUCAUUUGAGCAAGAUCUAAGAACACUAAGAAAGGUGGCAGUAAACCAAGAACGCAAGAAGGGGCAAAGUUCACUGAAUGAACAUGAGAGACAAGGACUACAAAUGACGAAAUGGUAAAAUUAGGGCAAAUUGUUCAAUCGUAUAAACCGUAACGCUAACAUGACAAUGUGGAUGGAAGCCAUAAUAUCGAACAAAGCCAGAACCAAGAUCAGUGUCUUCCCAAGACAAUGGUAGAUAUUGCGUUCGCGCGCAAACAAGGGGCUGAAGAGGACGCCACCACCUUAAAAUCAAAUAUCACAUGACGAGAUUUGUGCGUAUAGACAGGAAUGUUUUUUCAACCACAUUAACCAAACUUUUCAUCUUCCUGUUACCUAUAUAAUUAAAGAAAGCAAUAACAAUAAUCUCUUCCUUCCUACAUACCUCAUGUGACAAUGAAUGAAGAGACCGCGGCGACACUCAGUCUGUGCGAAUUAUAACAGCGCAUCAGUGCGAUGGAUUUGUUGGAUCAAUAAUCUCAAAGUUGUAAAUAAUUUAUCUUAAAGAGCUGUGCUCUAAUGGGAAAAAGUCUCUCUUUUUUUCUUUGAAGGGAAGUCAACCAAUGGCAUGCGAUGAAAAGAUGUGGAGUUUACUUUGUUCAAAUUGUUUUGUAUUUAAUGAUUUAAGAGUUAAGGAAAGUUUAUGCAACUACGAUACGGCCCGUCGAUGGAUGUUUUUGGGCGAAGGGAUAGAUUAAAUCUUUAAACCUAUGAAAAUAGUGUCUGGGCUGAACUUUACUUCCUAUCAUAAUCUUCUUAAAAAUCGCUAUUUCACUGACGGUUUCAUCGGCCUUAUUAAACUGACAUACUUAAAAGCUUCCUUUGCAUUUCAGUUUAGUGAUUUCAUUAUGAUAGAUCUUGGAGGAACGAAAGUUUCAUAAAGUAAAACUACAUAUCUUCUUUACAUUCCUGGUAACAAUACACCUCGUACAAAAUAUUUGUAAACAUUUUCGUUCCUGCAAACUUUUUCACAACAAUUUGAGUCCUGUGAUCACUAUGCAAUCCAGAUAAAAAUAACGCUCAUUUCCUUUUCGAUAAAAAACCGGCCUUUAUUUGCCACUUUCCAAUAUACCAGGUAUUGUUAUUAUAUCAUCAUUUUCUGUCAGUUGAAUUCACCGAAAAGGCCAUUAGCGGCAUCCAGGCCACUUGCCAGCCCGAGGGCCUAACAUGACUAAUGGAAGAAAACAUUUAAAUUAACAGUCAUUUAUUUAACCUCGAGAGUCCCUUGAAAAACACUUCCUUCCUGAUUUUACCUGACCAAAGCGGAAAGAUUAUCAACCAGUUAUUUUCUUUGCUAUCCAUGUGGGGAUCAAAGAUCCCUCAAGACAAUUAACAACUGUUUCCUAAUGCAGUGUUUUGUGUGGAUAAAAUGCGACUCUUUUCAUUCGGUCACGACUUCCUGUUAGAAUGAAAGAUACCACACGUUUCCCCCAGUAAAAUAACAUCAAAUGUAUCAAAUUUGGUAAACAGGGAUUACAUUGCUGACUACGCCAGUCUGGGACUGCGGGGGAGUGCUAGGCAUGGCAUGGCAUGGCCGAGCUUAAAGGCUCCAUGCUUUUAACCUUGGUUCUUCAUUAACAUGUCACAUUACUCGCGGCACUUAAAUCAACAUUGUCUCUGUUAACGCAAGAAGAACAGAAUAAAGCUUCAACCUGGGUAAUCUGUAGUAUGAAGUUUUUGAAAGCUCGUGAGUUGUGUGCCAAAAUCGGGGGGCGGCGAGGGAGGAUGGACCUGAAACGCACAGCAUGCCAUUUCACGAGGACAGAAGCAGAAACGAUACGAGCGGAUCGAAAGCAAAAACGAUUAAUCAUCCUAUGCUUAAAGAGAGAAAGAGAGAGAGAGACAGAGAGGGAAAGAAAAAAGUAAGAGCAAAGAAGAAUUUCGUGAUUUUGAUAGAUAUCACGAGGUGGUCUUAAAAUGGGAACAAAUUCAGAGAGUAUUGGUUUGACAUUGUUGAGGAUUUCAGAAUACAAGAAGUAGUUUCUAUCGUCGACAGAGGUUAGACAGCGUCACUUUUUGAUGCAAUUAUCACGAGCUAACUCGAAUCAGUUCACGUUUGUUUGUUAAGUAAUGUUUUAUCAGUUUUCCAGUUCAUAUCUUAAAUUCGUGAGGUGUUUUGGACGAAAAAUGCAUAAAUGCAGCAAUAGAGCACAGGAAACUCCAAAUAGGAAGGAAAGGGAGGAUAUAUCGUGGGGUCCAAGUGACGGGAUAACCUCCCAGGUCUGCACGAGAAAAAACCGCUGGAAGAAGUAUGAACAGCUGAAGAUUUUAGAACAAAAACAUGCACAACAAAAUAUAAAUAGCCAUGGAGGUUAACCAGUAUGUUCUAUGUAUCUUUAACGAUAAACAAAUGAAUUGUACCCUUAAAAACAAAAUUGGCGUGUGCUGUAGGGUAAGAUGUACAGAUAUAGAAUAUAUGAGUAGUAUCCUGAUCAUCCUCGUCUUGGUUAUUAAAUUAUGUAAAUCUUGUUAUACCUUCGAGGUGCUUCAUUAAAAAUUAUAGAUUGCUUA